This 51-nucleotide ribosomal RNA is filed under the name Acropora prolifera. Its description in RNAcentral is "partial 18S ribosomal RNA". Lineage: Eukaryota; Metazoa; Cnidaria; Anthozoa; Scleractinia; Acroporidae. The record is from RNAcentral.
GUAAAAGUGUCGUUCAAGGUUUCCGUAGGUAAACCUGCGUAAGGAUCAUCA